Molecule: ribosomal RNA, 463 nt
Filed under: uncultured bacterium
Lineage: Bacteria
Description: partial 16S ribosomal RNA
Rfam family: Bacterial small subunit ribosomal RNA
Source: RNAcentral
GAUGAACGCUGACAGAAUGCUUAACACAUGCAAGUCUUUGGCGAAGCUGUGCUUGCACAGCCUAGCCAAGGCGGACGGGUGAGUAACGCGUAAGGAACUUGCCCUGCAGUCAGGGAUAACAGACGGAAACGACUGAUAAGACCUGGUAAAGUCAGGCGGACUCAUGUCCAGCCUGAUGAAAAGAGAUGCUGCGGGAGAGCCUUGCGUCCUAUUAGCUUGUUGGUGGGGUAACGGCCCACCAAGGCGAUGAUAGGUAGCCGGCCUGAGAGGGUGGACGGCCACAAGGGGACUGAGAUACGGCCCUUACUCCUACGGGAGGCAGCAGUGGGGAAUAUUGGACAAUGGGGGCAACCCUGAUCCAGCAAUUCUGUGUGCACGAUGAAGGUUUUCGGAGUGUAAAGUGCUUUCAGCAGGGAAGAAAAAAAUGACGGUACCUGCAGAAGAAGCGACGGCUAAAUACGUG